This 405-nucleotide ribosomal RNA is filed under the name uncultured bacterium. RNAcentral's name for it is "bacterial SSU rRNA". It matches the Rfam family "Bacterial small subunit ribosomal RNA", at positions 355 to 775 of the family's 1533-position model. The record is from RNAcentral.
UGGGGAAUAUUGGGCAAUGGGGGCAACCCUGACCCAGCGACGCCGCGUGGGGGAAGACGGCCUUCGGGUUGUAAACCUCUUUUGUACGGGAAGAAGGAAGUGACGGUACUGUACGAAUAAGUCCCGGCUAACUACGUGCCAGCAGCCGCGGUAAUACGUAGGGGACGAGCGUUGUCCGGAAUUUCUGGGCGUAAAGGGCGCGCAGGCUGUGCUGCAAGUCAGCUGUUAAAUGUCUGGGCUUAACCCGGGCAUGCGGUUGAGACUGCGGUGCUGGAGUGCGGUAGAGGCAAGUGGAAUUCCCAGUGUAGCGGUUAAAUGCGUAGAUAUUGGGAAGAACACCGGGGGCGAAGGCGACUUGCUGGGCAGCAACUGACGCUGAGGCGCGAAAGCCAGGGGAGCAAACGG